Molecule: ribosomal RNA, 468 nt
Filed under: uncultured bacterium
Lineage: Bacteria
Description: partial 16S ribosomal RNA
Rfam family: Bacterial small subunit ribosomal RNA
Source: RNAcentral
GACGAACGCUGGCGGCGUGCUUAACACAUGCAAGUCGAACGGAAAGGCCCUGCUUUUGUGGGGUGCUCGAGUGGCGAACGGGUGAGUAACACGUGAGUAACCUGCCCUUGACUUUGGGAUAACUUCAGGAAACUGGGGCUAAUACCGGAUAGGAGCUCCUGCUGCAUGGUGGGGGUUGGAAAGUUUCGGCGGAUGGGGAUGGACUCGCGGCUUAUCAGCUUGUUGGUGGGGUAGUGGCUUACCAAGGCUUUGACGGGUAGCCGGCCUGAGAGGGUGACCGGCCACAUUGGGACUGCGAUACGGCCCAGACUCCUACGGGAGGCAGCAGUGGGGAAUAUUGCCCAAUGGGCGGAAGCCUGAUGCAGCAACGCCGCGUGCGUGAUGACGGCCUUCGGGUGGUAAACCGCUUUCGCCUGUGACGAAGCGUGAGUGACGGUAAUGGGUAAAGAAGCACCGGCUAACUACGUG